CACGUAGGGGGCAAGCGUUGUCCGGAUUUAUUGGGCGUAAAGAGCUCGUAGGCGGCUUAGUAAGUCGGGUGUGAAACCUCCAGGCUCAACCUGGAGACGCCACCCGAUACUGCUGUGGCUAGAGUCCGGUAGGGGAGCGUGGAAUUCCUGGUGUAGCGGUGAAAUGCGCAGAUAUCAGGAGGAACACCAGCGGCGAAGGCGGCGCUCUGGGCCGGUACUGACGCUGAGGAGCGGAAGCGUGGGGAGCAAACAGG
This 254-nucleotide ribosomal RNA is filed under the name uncultured bacterium. RNAcentral's name for it is "partial 16S ribosomal RNA". It matches the Rfam family "Bacterial small subunit ribosomal RNA", at positions 524 to 776 of the family's 1533-position model. The record is from RNAcentral.